Molecule: ribosomal RNA, 468 nt
Filed under: uncultured bacterium
Lineage: Bacteria
Description: partial 16S ribosomal RNA
Rfam family: Bacterial small subunit ribosomal RNA
Source: RNAcentral
GAUGAACGCUGGCGGCGUGCUUAACACAUGCAAGUCGAACGGAAAGGCCGAAGCUUGCUUCGGUACUCGAGUGGCGAACGGGUGAGUAACACGUGGGUGAUCUGCCCUGUACUUCGGGAUAAGCUUGGGAAACUGGGUCUAAUACCGGAUAUGACGAUCUCUUGGAUGGGGUUGUGGAAAGCUUUUGCGGUAUGGGAUGAGCUCGCGGCCUAUCAGCUUGUUGGUGGGGUAAUGGCCUACCAAGGCGUCGACGGGUAGCCGGCCUGAGAGGGUGUACGGCCACAUUGGGACUGAGAUACGACCCAGAGUCCUACGGGAGGCAGUAGUGGGGAAGAUUGUACAAUGGGCGCAAGCCUGAGGCAGCGAAGCCGCGUGGGGGAUGACGGCCUUCGGGUUGUAAACUCCGUUCGCAAUCGACGAAGCCUUUUGGUGACGGUAGGUGGAGAAGAAGCACCGGCUAACUACGUG